UACGAACUGUGCGAACGUUAUUCGGAAUCACUGGGCUUAAAGGGUGCGUAGGCCGCUGCCUAAGUCAGACGUGAAAUCCCCAGGCUCAACCUGGGAACUGCGUCUGAUACUGGAUGGCUUGAAUCCGGGAGAGGGAUGCAGAAUUCCAGGUGUAGCGGUGAAAUGCGUAGAUAUCUGGAGGAAUACCGGUGGCGAAGGCGGCAUCCUGGACCGGCAUUGACGCUGAGGAGCGAAAGCCAGGGGAGCAAACGGG
This 253-nucleotide ribosomal RNA is filed under the name uncultured bacterium. Its description in RNAcentral is "partial 16S ribosomal RNA". It matches the Rfam family "Bacterial small subunit ribosomal RNA", at positions 524 to 776 of the family's 1533-position model. The record is from RNAcentral.